GAAAGGUAAUGGCGGUAAUCUCGGUUAAGAAAGGCAUACAAUUCCUUAAUUCGCGAAAUAUUAAAUCGUUAGACUUCAUACCAAAUACACCACAAUUUCUUCGUACCAGCAACCCAAUUUUUGAGAUACUGAUAUCGACGACUUCAAUUAAAAAACAAAUCAAUUGAUUUCAUCAUUGAUCAACAGGUACAUAAUACAUUGAAUUCACGUCUUUUUAUCUUUUGUAUUUGUAUGCAUAGGUAUAAAUCGAUUGGUAAUUAUAUAGAAUUUGUUGUGUAUUCGCUUCAUCUUUUUGAGGUCCAAUAUUGAAUCGAUAGGUAAUUUGGUUUUCUAAAGCUUUGUUUGAAUAUCGAUUUUCUAUUACAUUUUGGCUGAAUUCUAUAUGAAUCGAUUGGUUAUUAGAUGUUCUAAUUGAAUAACUUAAUUUAAUUGUAUUUGAAUUGAUCUGGUAAUGGGGAACAUGAACAGAUUUCAAACUGUAAUUGUAUAAAUUCUCCAUUGAUAAUUGGAGCUUUGGCUGAAUGUGUUAUACUUUGGCUGAAUUCUAUAUGAACCGAUUGGUUAUUAGCUAUUAUAAUUGAAUAACUUGUUUUAAUUGUAUUUGAAUUGAUCUGGUAAUGGGGAAUAUGAACAGAUUUCAAACUGUAAUUGUAUAAAUUCUCCAUUGAUAAUUGGAGCUUUGAUUGAAUGUGUUGUAUUUUGGUUGAAAACUUGUUUUAAUUGUAUUAGAAUUGAUCUCAUAAUGUGGAAUAUGAAUAGAUUUCAAAUUGUAAUUGUACAAAUUCUCCAUUGAUAAUUGGAUUUUUGGUUGAAUGUGUGUUUUGAAUAAUUUUCUGUGGAAUUAGGGUCCGUAUAAAAUAGUGUUAAUAUAAAUAUAGAGUUGAUAUAUGUAGUUGUAUAACUUAUCUAUCGCAGUACAUAAUUGUAUAAAUUAGUUUUAGUGAAAUUGUUGUUUGAAUAUGUAUAAUUCAUUGAUGGUUAUAAUUUUAGUAGAAUUAAUGUCUGUAUAAAUUAUUCGUAAUUGUACAAAUAGAGACUUGAUAUAUGCAUUUGUAUAUAGGGGUGUUCACGGAUCGGUUUGGAUCGGUUAUUGGUAAAAAUCAAAACCAAACCAACUUAAUCGGUUCUAAAAUUAUCAAAACCAAACCAAACCAAAUAUAAUAUACAUUUAUCGGUUUUGUGGUUAUCGGUUUCGGUUUGGUUUGGUUUGGUUUGGUUAUUCGGUUGUUAACCAUACACAAAAAUAAAAGAAACAAUUUAUUCAAAAUGUGAAAAAAGUGACAACAAUCCAUUCAAAACGAAAAAUAGUUAGAGUGACUUAAAUUACCGAACUUUCGAUCACUGAAUUUACUAUCAAAUAAAGCUUUAAUAUUCACUAUAUUGGACUAGAAGAAAGAGACAAUAACAUUUUCAGUCCCACAAAGAAUUGUCAUAGACACUCAUACACAUGAAAUCAAUAAGAUAAAUGUUCACCUUGGACAUUCUUGCUUUCAAUAAGUAAAGUAUAAAGAAAUUUUAAUGAAAACAUAUAUAAGAUCUUUAAAAUUGUUUAUAAAAAACAAUAUAUUAAGUAUAUAUAUUAAUAACAUAUAUGUAUAUAAUUCAUCGGUUGGUUCGGUUAUUUCUUCGGGUUUUUUUCGAAUAAAACCAUAACCAAACCAAAUACUACCGGUUUUCCAAAAUCUAAAAUCAAACCAAACCAAACCCAAAUAAAAUCGAUUUUAUUUUAUCGAUUUGGUUUGAUUUUUCGGUUUGGAUCGAUUUUUAUCCAAACUAUGAACACCCCUAUUUGUAUAUUUGAUCUAUUAUCGUCCAUAGUUAAAUCUAUUUCACUCUUUAUUAGCUUCAAUUGAUAAUUAUUGUAUAAAUUAGUUGGUAUCAAUUGAUUUAAGUUUGAAAAAUUAAAUAAAUUAGUUUUGGUGGAAUUGCUAUCUGUAUAAAAUGACCAUUUCUGUUUGUAAUGUAUAAAUGGAAUAAUCACAGUUAAUUUUUACUUAUAUUUAAUUGUAUACAAUAAUGUCUUUGUAACACUCCGUAUUCAAAAAAGGGAAACGAACCAGACUUUGGGAAAUUGCAGGUGCCAACCACGAGGGCCACCCACGGCCCAUGGAUGGGACCACGGACCAUAGGUGUGGUUCGUGGAUGGCCCUGCCAGAGUGGCCUAGAGUCUUAGGACCAAGGCUUGACCUACGAACAGUAGGCCAGACCACGAUCAGUGGUUAGGGUCCGUGGUUCGAGGCCCAAAAACCAACUUUCUGAUGGCCAACCACGGUCCACCAGGACGGACCGUGGGUCAGACCACGACCUGUCGACUGGGGUCCGUCGGUGGCCAGCUAUUAGUUAUUGUUAGGGUCGGUUGGAUCUUUUCCUAAUUUAUUUAAUCCUAUACUAUGUCAUUUUUCCUAUAUUUAGAACCCCUAUACCCUUUAACCCCCAAAUUCACCCUAUUUAUUUCAUUCUUCAAAAUUCACAAAAAGAAACCAAUUCCUCUCCAAAUAGUCUCUCUCUAGAAAUUUGAAGAAGAAGAAGAAGAAAGAUUCUAACGUUCCAAUUCCUCCAUUGAAGGCUAGCAAUUGGAGUCAAGGUAUGAUAGUUUUCAUCCAUAGAUUCCUUCCAUCCAUGGACUUUCCAAAUUCCUCUAUGUCAAAUGGUAGAAUUUCCCCAAUUGAGUUAGGGUUUUUAUCAAUUAGCAUGAGUUCUUAUCAUUAUUGAUUUAAAUGAUUUAAUUAUGAUCUUCUAUGUAUGAAUUGAUGAAUUGCAAUGCUUUUAUGAUGAAUUCCCCUAUGAACCCAUGUGAUCCCUAUGUUUCCAAGUUAUGAACUAUAUGUUGUGGGAUUUGAUCUUCAAGAAAGAGUUUUAUGAAAUUGAGCAUAUAUUACUAGUUUUACAUGAAUUUAUGAUAAAAUCCAUAUCUAACCCAUGUUUUCUAAGAGUUGAUGAUUGAAAUAGGGUUUUGACCUCAAGGAGGCGAAUUAUGGACUUACACAUUGUUUUUAUGAAAUCUAUGCAAAAAUUUUAAGGGUGCUUUGAGAGCAAAGUACCAAUGAUGAUAUUGUAUUGUGAAAGGAAAUUCUCACUAAAACACAUACUAGCAAGAUAUUAAAGGUUUUUCCUACAUAGAAAGGUUUCUUAGGUUGGAAGUCUUUCUGACCUAAUUGAAU
Molecule: long non-coding RNA, 3161 nt
Filed under: Solanum tuberosum (potato)
Lineage: Eukaryota; Viridiplantae; Streptophyta; Magnoliopsida; Solanales; Solanaceae
Description: long non-coding RNA (STUB_LNC001459)
Source: RNAcentral